GUGUAAUACGUAGCUGGCUAGCGUUAUCAGAAUUAUUGGCGUAAAGCGCGCGCAGGUUGUUUCUUAAGUUUGAUGUGACACGCCCACCGGCUCAACCGUGGAGGGUCAUUGGAAACUGGGAGACUUGAGUGCAGAAGGAGGAAAGUGGACUUCCCAUGUGUAGCGGUGAAAUGCGUAGAGAUAUGGAGGACACACCAGUGGCGAAGGCGACUUUCUGGUCUGUAACUGACAGUGAGGCGCGAAAGCGUGGGCGAGCAAACAGGAUUAGAUACCCUGGUAGUCCACGCCGUAAACGAUGAGUGCUAAGUGUUAGAGGGUUUCCGCCCUUUAGUGCUGAAGUUAACGCAUUAAGCACUCCGCCUGGGGAGUACGGCCGCAAGGCUGAAACUCAAAGGAAUUGACGGGGGCCCGCACAAGCGGUGGAGCAUGUGGUUUAAUUCGAAGCAACGCGAAGAACCUUACCAGGUCUUGACAUCCUCUGAAAACCCUAGAGAUAGGGCUUCUCCUUCGGGAGCAGAGUGACAGGUGGUGCAUGGUUGUCGUCAGCUCGUGUCGUGAGAUGUUGGGUUAAGUCCCGCAACGAGCGCAACCCUUGAUUUUAGUUGCCAUCAUUAAGUUGGGCACUCUAAGGUGACUGCCGGUGACAAACCGGAGGAAGGUGGGGAUGACGUCAAAUCAUCAUGCCCCUUAUGACCUGGGCUACACACGUGCUACAAUGGACGGUACAAAGAGCUGCAAGACCGCGAGGUGGAGCUAAUCUCAUAAAACCGUUCUCAGUUCGGAUUGUAGGCUGCAACUCG
Molecule: ribosomal RNA, 800 nt
Filed under: Bacillus toyonensis
Lineage: Bacteria; Bacillati; Bacillota; Bacilli; Caryophanales; Bacillaceae
Description: bacterial SSU rRNA
Rfam family: Bacterial small subunit ribosomal RNA
Source: RNAcentral